Lonchura striata (white-rumped munia) is the source of this 630-nucleotide non-coding RNA. The record is from RefSeq and is a predicted model, not a curated record. NCBI's taxonomy places the organism in Eukaryota, Metazoa, Chordata, Aves, Passeriformes, Estrildidae.
GGGAGAACCGGGAACGGGAGAACCGGGAGUGAGUGGAUAGCAGGGAACGGGAGAACCGGGCCCAGGGGCAGCGGGAACAGGAGAACCGGGCCAGGGUGGCCCUGAGUGAUGAACAGACAGCGAGGCCCGUGCCUCCGGAGACCGGCAAAGGCCCGGGGCAGAAGGAACCCACGGGGCAGAGGGAGCCCCCGGGGCAGAAGGAAUUAAAUGAAUCACAGGGCUGGAGAACUACCUGCUCUGACCAUCCCAGGCUCCUCACCCGUUUUCCCCACACUGGGCCUUUUAAUAUUUUUAAUUUCCCAUUGCUUGCAUUGAAUUCAUGCCACCUUUGGAGUCCCAAGGAUAGGAAGUACUGGCAGAUGGGAACCACAUUAACACCGGGUCCUUGGGAAUGCUGGGUGUGUGCCAGAAGCAAAGGGGGAACCAGGAAGUUCUGUGCCGGUCCGCUUCUCCCAUUCUUUAUUCAUUUGCAUAUAGUGAUUAAUCAAGGCAAUCCUGCCACAUUUUCCAACAUCCUUCUUACAGGGAUCUUUCUUCUAAAUCCUCCCCCCCAGCUCUUUAUUUGGUGUUCCACAAAUACAAAUAAAUACGCACAGUGGGAGAACACACAGGGAUGUAUCCAGCACCAAA